CCUACGGGAGGCAGCAGUAGGGAAUCUUCGGCAAUGGACGGAAGUCUGACCGAGCAACGCCGCGUGAGUGAAGAAGGUUUUCGGAUCGUAAAGCUCUGUUGUAAGAGAAGAACGAGUGUGAGAGGGGAAAGUUCACACUGUGACGGUAUCUUACCAGAAAGGGACGGCUAACUACGUGCCAGCAGCCACGGUAAUACGUAGGUCCCGAGCGUUGUCCGGAUUUAUUGGGCGUAAAGCGAGCGCAGGCGGUUAGAUAAGUCUGAAGUUAAAGGCUGUGGCUUAACCAUAGUACGCUUUGGAUACUGUUUAACUUGAGUGCAAUAGGGGAGAGUGGAAUUCCAUGUGUAGCGGUGAAAUGCGUAGAUAUAUGGAGGAACACCGGUGGCGAAAGCGGCUCUCUGGCUUGUAACUGACGCUGAGGCUCGAAAGCGUGGGGAGCAAACAGGAUUAGAUACCCCUGUAGUC
This 465-nucleotide ribosomal RNA is filed under the name uncultured Streptococcus sp. RNAcentral's name for it is "bacterial SSU rRNA". It matches the Rfam family "Bacterial small subunit ribosomal RNA", at positions 338 to 795 of the family's 1533-position model. The record is from RNAcentral. Lineage: Bacteria; Bacillati; Bacillota; Bacilli; Lactobacillales; Streptococcaceae.